AGCGAACGCUGGCGGCAGGCCUAACACAUGCAAGUCGAACGGGCAUCUUCGGAUUUCUGUGGCAGACGGGUGAGUAACACGUGGGAACGUACCCUUCGUUUCGGAAUAACUUAGGGAUACUUGAUCUAAUACCGUAUACUCCCUUUUGGGGAAAGUUUUACUGCCGAAGGAUCGGCCCGCGUCUGAUUAGCUUGUUGGUGGGGUAACGGCCUACCAAGGCGACGAUCAGUAGCUGGUCUGAGAGGAUGAUCAGCCACACUGGGACUGAGACACGGCCCAGACUCCUACGGGAGGCAGCAGUGGGGAAUAUUGGACAAUGGGCGCAAGCCUGAUCCAGCCAUGCCGCGUGAGUGAUGAAGGCCUUAGGGUUGUAAAGCUCUUUUGUCAGGGACGAUAAUGACGGUACCGGAAGAAUAAGCCCCGGCUAACUUCGUG
RNAcentral lists this ribosomal RNA (435 nucleotides) under uncultured bacterium. RNAcentral's name for it is "partial 16S ribosomal RNA". It matches the Rfam family "Bacterial small subunit ribosomal RNA", at positions 29 to 507 of the family's 1533-position model. The record is from RNAcentral.